Molecule: transfer RNA, 73 nt
Filed under: Camelus bactrianus (Bactrian camel)
Lineage: Eukaryota; Metazoa; Chordata; Mammalia; Artiodactyla; Camelidae
Also listed under: 2 other names
Rfam family: tRNA
About the family: Transfer RNA (tRNA) molecules are approximately 80 nucleotides in length. Their secondary structure includes four short double-helical elements and three loops (D, anti-codon, and T loops).
Source: Rfam by way of RNAcentral
GAGGAUAUAGCUCAAAUGAUAGAGCACAUGCUUAGCACGCACAGGGUCCUGGGUUCAAUCCCCAGUACCAUUA